UACGGAAGGCAGCAGUGGGGAAUAUUGCACAAUGGGCGAAAGCCUGAUGCAGCUAUGCCGCGUGUAUGAAGAAGGCCUUAGGGUUGUAAAGUACUUUCAUCGGGGAGGAAAAACAAAACUAAUAAUUUUAUUUCUUGACGUUACCCGAAAAAGAAGCACCGGCUAACUCCGUGCCAGCAGCCGCGGUAAUACGGAGGGUGCUAGCGUUAAUCAGAAUUACUGGGCGUAAAGAGCACGUAGGUGGUUUUUUUAAGUCAGAUGUGAAAUCCCUGGGCUUAACCUAGGAACUGCAUUUUGAAACUGAAAUACUAGAGUAUCGUAGAGGGAGGUAGAAUUCUAGGUGUAGCGGUGAAAUGCGUAGAUAUCUGGAGGAAUACCUGUGGCGAAAGCGGCCUCCUAAACGAAUACUGACACUGAGGUGCGAAAGCGUGGGGAGCAAACGAGGGAUUAGGAUACC
This 457-nucleotide ribosomal RNA is filed under the name uncultured bacterium. Its description in RNAcentral is "bacterial SSU rRNA". It matches the Rfam family "Bacterial small subunit ribosomal RNA", at positions 340 to 786 of the family's 1533-position model. The record is from RNAcentral.